RNAcentral lists this long non-coding RNA (232 nucleotides) under Ananas comosus (pineapple). Its description in RNAcentral is "long non-coding RNA (ACOM_LNC037075)". The record is from RNAcentral. Lineage: Eukaryota; Viridiplantae; Streptophyta; Magnoliopsida; Poales; Bromeliaceae.
AUGGAUACAAAAAAAAUAUAUCCUACCCAUUUAACUUCGGAUUGGAUCCGGAUCUGAGUACUUAAGUUAAUAAUAUACCCAUCGGGUUUAUUUGAGCGGGUCUGGAUAGUGACUAUCCGUCUACUACUCACUUAAGACCGGGUAUGAAUCGGGUAUUGGUCGGGUCUAGAUCGGGUACGGAUACCCGUAUGCAUAUAUUUUUUAUUAAACGGUCUAUGGACAAACCAUAAAC